Molecule: antisense RNA, 178 nt
Filed under: Halomicronema hongdechloris C2206
Lineage: Bacteria; Bacillati; Cyanobacteriota; Cyanophyceae; Nodosilineales; Nodosilineaceae
Description: Antisense RNA which regulates isiA expression
Rfam family: Antisense RNA which regulates isiA expression
Source: Rfam by way of RNAcentral
GGUAGCUAAAGAUGGUGCCUACGUCUAAGGUGGGAUCGCUAACUACGCGCACUUCCCCCAGAGUGGCAUCAUACAAGCCGCCGAAGAACAUCGCCUUAGCGACUAACAACAGAGCUCCUAAACCAAGAAUGGCCAGAUGGUGCCCUAAGAUGAAGCCCAGCUGCUUGGGAUCAUCCCA